Molecule: long non-coding RNA, 5135 nt
Organism: Haplochromis burtoni (Burton's mouthbrooder)
Lineage: Eukaryota; Metazoa; Chordata; Actinopteri; Cichliformes; Cichlidae
Exons: 4
Source: RefSeq, a predicted model, not a curated record
CAUCCUCACAGUCUUGAAGUGGCAAAUAAAAUAUACUGCAUGAAUUCCUCUUCUCUGCCGAAGUCUACACACAUUUGAUCUCAGUGUGUUUGCCGUCUGCCAAACAACUUUGAGAUUUUCUCUGAGUGGGUCCUCUCAGUUAUGGUUUGGCUCAGUAAGCCAGCCGCAGCGGCUCGGCUGAGUGUGUGUUUUCCUUUGGUUCUUUAUCUGCCACAUGGUCAAAACAUGGCUUUGGCUUUUAAUAAAACAAAACUCGUUUUGUGCGUUGCCAUGUCGGCUUCCCUGGAGCUCAUAAUCAUCAUUUGGAAUUGGAAAGCCGCUACUCCAUCAUUUUCCGCUCUCACUUUGAUAACGAAUAAAUUCUCCUUCAGAAAUCUUUGUGUGUGUGUGUGUGAAUAAUCACAUAUGCUUCCCAAAACUCCCCUUUCCACUUUGCUGCCUGUCAGCAGUUGUUUCUUGUCUGUGCCGAGGCUCAUCUUCACUGUCUGAUCUACUUCCCGGUUUCCUUCCCAGUCCUAACAAAAACAACUCUGCAGUUCUAGACAGCGGGACGUCAUAACGUGGCUAAAGCCAGACUGGGGAAUCCCUCAGGGAAGGGUGGAGGGGUUAUAAAUGAAGGUCACAACCUUGAUGGGAAUGACAUCACUGAGAACAGAGAGGUACACCUUCCAGAUAUUGUGAGUAAGUUUGUAGUCACACAAACACUUUCAUAUGUCACACCUGAACAACAGCACAGCCACUCUUUAACAUGCAACUAUUAGUGCUGUUAGUUUGUUUCUGUGCAGGUGUUUGUUUGAUAGAAAUCCACCGAGAUCUUCUCAGGAUAGCAGCAGCUCAGAGAAAAGCUGCAGUGACAGCACUUUCUUGGGGCAAACACUCACACGCAGUUUUUACUGUCAACAUAAAAGACCGCAGAUUUUCUGACUUUGUCUGCGUCUGCAACUCCUGUUAAGCCUCAGGGAGCCUUUGCGUGAUCCUGUAACUGAGCACCAUUCCCGAUGCCCAGGACCCGGCAUGUCUUCAACAAGCCUGGACAUGGAUGCCCUGGAGUGAAUCAGUGCCUGCAAAAAUCAUCCAACUCCCCCACAAACACCCACAUAUUUCAUCCACUCAUACGUGCACACACACACAAACACACGCGGCACACCGCUCUCACUCACAGUCACACUCUUACUCACAUAUGUAAAUGCACUUUUGCUGGUGCACCACCUUGUACACAGCAUGAACUGAGCACACAUGUUCACACACAGCAACAAUGUAUUCAUACGGCACAUUUCAAAAACAACGUUACGAGGAUCUGCUCAAAGCAGAAAUUAAAAUACACCUGAUUUUUUUCCUUUUUAAAAACAAGAUAUAUAAAGCAUAUCUGGACCAAUCGCAGCGCCCUGUGCCUCAGCUCAGCCUGCUAUCAGGCAUGUUUUUGUAUCUCGCCCUCAGCUGACAAUUAUUGUUUGCCGCACUUGGACAAAGAUCCCGUUGCUAAAUAGAAGCGGAGGGUUGGUAUUAAGAGCCGUCUGCAGGUUGUGAUGAAGGCAGGCAGAGGCAGCCACAGGCAGCACAAUUAGCACUUUGUGGUCUGUUAGUGGCACACUAAUUUUCUCACAUUUAAUGUAGUUUACCUUAAGUAGUGCAUUUAGGAGGCCCUGAACCAAAUAUAGACUCUCACUGGGUUAUUUGGAAGUCUACUUCAGUCACAAAUUACUGUCUAAUUGUUUGCAAGGCACACUUGUUUACUAGUUUUCAGACAGAGAGUGGUGUCUGGCUUCCUUUGACGCUGAUAGAUUUAAAGGAUGCUCCAGUUGCACAUUUUUUUGAAAUGAACUGAUUAACUUUUAGAUUAGAUCGAUUAGAUGAGAAGACUUGUAGACAGAGAAGAUUGAGUCCUCAGCUAUCAUCAGCUAACAUCACAGUGUGACAUUUAUCAAGCAAAGCAUAAGUUCAGGUGAGCUGCAAAGUCAGUCUGGUUUCAUAGCCAGCCCACACCCUCUGGUUGGCUCAGGUAAAUACCAUCAUGCACAUCCACUGGGCUAAUCUCCUAUAUGGCUCUAGUUAAGCUGCUUUAGCCUGUGCAUAGGUGUUGCUGCCCCUGCAAGCUGCUUUGCAACCCACCUCCAGCUCAGCUCCUUGCUUUGUCCUGUCUGACUUAAUUGCAGUCAUAUCUGUUGUUACUGAUGCCCGCUCUGGGGUCUUACUGCUGUUCUCCCUGCUGUAUGCUUUCUACUUAUGACUGCGCAGCAGUGGGAAGGUCCCAGAACAGAGGGAUACCGCCCAUUAUAUUUUACUACAUAUGGAAAUAACAGUUUUAUCUAUACUUUAUUCAGGUUUAACGAACAAGACUUGUUAAUUACUGACAUUUUCAGUUGUAGAGGUCUGGGUGUAAUUUCUUUGCUUUGCACCACCACCACCACCACCAGCCCUCCAGUUCCAGUUAAACAAACCAGACCAGCUGUUAGCUGUGGUUUCAUAUUUAGAGUAUACACAAGCAGGCUUGAUCUUCUCGUCUGGCUUUUUAGCAAAUGUGAAACUACUCCUUUAAUGUGGGAGGUACAUGUAAUACAUUUCUUUAACCUUUCAACUCGCACAGACCUUUCAAGUCAUUUUAAAAAAAUGUCAGGGACUUUAAGAAAACCAGCUGCACACGACCACCAGAACAACAGACAGAAAUCGAAGCCCUGAGAUAGUUUUCCCUGAAGUCAAGAACAAACAACAUCUUCCCCCUUCAUAUCUCACUCUGAAAGUUUGGACUUAGUCAUCUUCACAGUGCCUGUCAAACAGUUUGCUGCUUUGUCAUUCCUCAUCGCCGUGUCAGCCUGGGCAAAGAGGUCUCCGUAUUUCUAACCACAUCUACCUCCGUCACUGAGAAAUGUUUGUCGCUGUGAAAUUUUGAAGAAUUAUCUUAUUCAGAUCGAUCUUGUGUUUUUCACGAGAAAAGAAAAAAGGGAGAGCUUCGUGUUCGGGGGCCACGAUGCUUCCUGCACAUGUUUUGAAGUGCAGGUUUUUUAAUGGAGCUUUUGCUCGAUGUUUGGCUGUAAAGCGCAAGGACAGAAAUAGCUAAACAAUGCCUGGCGGCUACAGGCUCGCAUCUAUAAUGACCCCCGCCUUGUGAUUGAAGAGGCCCCUCUAAAAGGCAUAGCAGGUGGAAGUGUAGGUGGUCUCCCCCUAGCACUCUCCUCAUACUGCAUAUGCACACACACAGCUGCCCCGCAAUCUGCACAACACACACACAAGCACGCUGGCGGUGUAUGCGCUGCUACUGCUGCUGCUGUUUUCGCUUCACUUCUUGACACUCAUAGUUAAACGCACAACAUGACCUUAAACAUGUACUAAGCAGCUAAAAUAACUGAGAAAGUCUGUUCUUACUUUAUGAUUAUCUUUACUCUCUAUGGCUUCUUGGGUUUUUCACAGUAAUAGUAGUAGAGGAGACUGAUUCUGAUCACCAACUCACAAACUUACUACACUACAAGCCAAGCUGCUCUCUAUUUAUUCAUCAUUUUACAAGCACGUAGGCUUGCAUCUCACUCGGCGACAGAUCCAUGCAUCUUGCAAGAAUACGUGUAAGAAUAUAUUAUAUUCUUGCAUCUCGGCUCGUCACAGUAAAACAGAGCGUCUGCGAGGAGCCGUCAACUUUCUCUUCUGCGCGUCUCAGAUGAACGGGCCAAAGUGGAAGUGGAAAUCUGCUGUAGUUGAGCCAGUGAGUCAGCUUACAACGCACCCGUUUGAAGGGAAACCACAGAAAAGGCAGUGCCAAAGAGACUUGUAAAACCAAAGAAACCAAGUCUCCAAAGCCUGAAAGCCUGUGAGCAGUCAUUCAAACCAAAGAUCUGAAGCAACGGCACCAUGAAGCUAUCCACCUACCUCCUCUGCCAUCCACCAAAAAUGUCGGUGACCAACAGGUAUGAGAUGAGCCCUUAAAGGAUGUGAUGUCAACCCCUCCUCUCCCCAGAUGGCUGUUUCCCAUACAGCGGGACCCUACCUUCAAAUGUCAACUUCACGAGUACAUCAGUACUGACCUCGACAGUCAAGCUGUGAUUUUGCAGUGUGAUGAUGAUGAUGAUGAUGAUGAUGCAGUAUUUCUAACUGUGAAGCAGUGGGAAAAUAUCCAGUGCAAGCUGCUAUGCAUCCCCUUCUUUGCACGCUACAGACUAUGGAAACCCUUCGAUGUCUGGCACAAAAAUGUUUGUGCCAAAAAGAUAACUUUGGCCAUGGAGUCACUAUAAAAAAAUUGUGUUUUGUAUUUCUAUUUUCAGAUGCAUUGAAAAAUUGUCAGAUUUUUGGAUAUGAUUGAGCUAUUCUGGUUAUGUUGAAUUUUAAUUUGAAAUUAACAUGGGAUUUUAUUUGUAUAUUUGUAUGUUUUUAUAUGUGUCUGGAAGGCAUAUAUAAAUAGGCAAUAAAUAUGAAAACGCACCCUCUUUGAAAGUCAACCUAAAAAAUGACGUCUACCUGCAAAGUAUCAAGCAAAGCAUCCAGGUGGUUUUACUGCAUUGUUUUCCUUAGAUGCCUGACAGCUUUGAAUUGCCCUGAUGUAUUUUUCUCCUUCAAAAACCAUUCCAGAUUGUAUUUGCUGCUGCGAAUGUGUACUCACACAUGUUUGAGCACUUUCUGAGAAUCUAUAAGGAGAAUGAAAGUUUGGAUUUGGAUGCAGUGCUUAUUAACUUAUUACUUAUUCCAUUGAAAUUUACAUUUUUUGUCAUUAUUGUUUUGUUUUUUGUUGGUUUUUUCCUACAUUUUACUGUGGAUUGUUUUUGGAAAUUUGGAAAGUUUUUGACCAUAAAAUGUGAUUUAAGGUCAUCAGUCACACGCUCACCCAACUCGCUAAGAGGAAAGCUGAGGCCAUAAUCACUGACGUUCGUGAGGCCAAAGUUGAAGGACAGAUCAGUCCCUCUACUACAGCUCAGCUGGUUGACUUUCUCACAUUUCUGGAUGAGAUUGAGGAGACGGUGAGAUGUUCCUGUUUAACAAUUAAAUGUGAUAAACCAACAAAACACAGCAGCUUGUUUUCUUUUUCCUCAGCUUUCUUUUUCUGAUUUACUCAACUCCAUAUUUCCAUUUCUCGUUUUGCUAACAAAGAGCUGAAAUCAGUUUGCAAAAUGUACGAUCUGAUCAACGUGCACUCAGUCCCCACACCACCAGAAAUU